RNAcentral lists this ribosomal RNA (389 nucleotides) under Gemella morbillorum. RNAcentral's name for it is "bacterial SSU rRNA". It matches the Rfam family "Bacterial small subunit ribosomal RNA", at positions 99 to 478 of the family's 1533-position model. Lineage: Bacteria; Bacillati; Bacillota; Bacilli; Caryophanales; Gemellaceae. The record is from RNAcentral.
CGAACGGGUGAGUAACACGUAAAGAACCUGCCUCAUAGACUGGGACAACUAUUGGAAACGAUAGCUUAAUACUGGAUAACAGCAUUAACUGCAUGGUUGAUGUUUGAAAGUUGGUUAUGCUAACACUAUGAGAUGGCUUUGCGGUGCAUUAGCUAGUUGGUGGGGUAAAGGCCCACCAAGGCGACGAUGCAUAGCCGACCUGAGAGGGUGAUCGGCCACACUGGGACUGAGACACGGCCCAGACUCCUACGGGAGGCAGCAGUAGGGAAUCUUCCGCAAUGGGCGAAAGCCUGACGGAGCAACGCCGCGUGAGUGAAGAAGGAUUUCGGUUCGUAAAGCUCUGUUGUUAGGGAAGAAUGGAUAUGUAGUAACUAUACAUGUACGAGACG